ACAAUCGAUUCAGAAAGGAGAAAAAAGAGAACUGUAAUCGAGUUUAGAAGAAAGAGAAGGAGGGUGUGACUUUAGGUGACUGUGUUUGUCGAUUGGAUUUUGAGAAGUGAAAGGGGGUUCCGAUUUCUAGUGUGAAACCCUUGUCAUCGAUCUAACCUUGUUGGUGUUUCAAGGUUUGGUUUUUUCGAUCUAACCCUUGCUGGAGCUUCCUGUUAAAGCAAGCCCUAGCACCAACCAAAAUCGAAACUUGAACAGAAGGAUUAAGGCUUGAAUCUAAUAAGAUACCUUGUAUUGUUGAGGAAUCGACUUUGCUUAAGCAUGAAUUAAAGGAAAUUGGGGGUAAACGAGGCUUGAUAUGUCCGAUUAGGAGUUAAAUUGGGUUGCAAACUGAUCUUGGAAGAAGCUAAGUUGAAAAUUGAUCUUGCCCCUACAGCAGAUUCAUAACCAUCAUUGGUAUCAGAGGUGGCACCUACAGAACCUGUUCCAUAAUCAAACUUUGAGAUCUGGGUUAAAUACACACACUGAAAAGGAACUCCGGAUCACAUUCAAAGAAGAUGAAAAUGGUGUGUUCUGAACAGAAAAGAAAAAUGGUUACUGAGAUCGAUGGAGGAAUAAGGAAGAACGAAUGGAAGCAGCUUGAGGGUCGAAAAGAGAUGAAUACAAAAGGGAAAAUGGUGGAUGUCGUCGGUUCUUUUUCUCCGCUGAACAGUGCCGACGGUCCUGUUUGCGAUCGAGCGGAGGCUUGCUUCAGCUGGCCAUGGCGGCGAUUUGGUGGUUAUUGGGUCGGUCUGCCAUUAAAAUGGAAGGAAGACGAGAGGUUGGGUUGAAGAAGGCAACAAAUUCGAUGGUUGCUAGGUUUUUUUUGGUGAUUAGGGGGGAGGGAGAGAGAGAGAGAGUUUCUUUUAUUUUUUAUAUUUUUAGUUAGAAAAUAAUUAAAUAACAAAAAGAAAAGAAAAAACAAAUGGAAAAGGGCAAAUUCGUCAUUUUUAAAAAUUUUAAACUGUUUUGGACCAAAAUCGCAGCAAAAUGAAAACUUUUGGACUAUUUUCGCUAGUCCAAACCUGUUUGGCCCAAAGUAGCAUUUUUGGACAUACCACAGGGACCAUUCUUGCAAUUUUGU
Molecule: long non-coding RNA, 1120 nt
Filed under: Lactuca sativa (garden lettuce)
Lineage: Eukaryota; Viridiplantae; Streptophyta; Magnoliopsida; Asterales; Asteraceae
Description: long non-coding RNA (LSAT_LNC007216)
Source: RNAcentral